GAAUAUUGGACAAUGGGCGAAAGCCUGAUCCAGCAAUACCGCGUGAGUGAUGAAGGCCCUAGGGUUGUAAAGCUCUUUCAGUAGGGAAGAUAAUGACGGUACCUACAGAAGAAGCACCGGCUAACUCCGUGCCAGCAGCCGCGGUAAUACGGAGGGUGCUAGCGUUGUUCGGAAUUACUGGGCGUAAAGAGUGCGUAGGCGGCUUGGUAAGUUGGAAGUGAAAUCCCGGGGCUCAACCUCGGAAUUGCUUUCAAAACUAUCAAGCUAGAGUAUGGUAGGGGAUAGUGGAAUUCUUAGUGUAGGGGUGAAAUCCGUAGAUAUUAAGAGGAACACCAGAGGCGAAGGCGACUAUCUGGGCCAUUACUGACGCUAAGGCACGAAAGCGUGGGGAGCAAACGGG
Molecule: ribosomal RNA, 400 nt
Filed under: uncultured bacterium
Lineage: Bacteria
Description: bacterial SSU rRNA
Rfam family: Bacterial small subunit ribosomal RNA
Source: RNAcentral